GGUACGGUAACCGACUUUUUUGUCCCAAACCGUAAACCAUCCCGACUUAUGUCGGUAGGUUAAUCUUGAUACCAAUACCGACUGAAAAAGUUGGUAUCCCGAACCUUCAGUAACCGAACUUUCGGUUGGUAUCGGUACGGUUAGGCUUAGAACCGAACUUUAUUGGGCCUCUUAAUCUGUCACUGUUUUAAAUGAAAAAUAGGCCCGGACUAAAAAAAAAAAAACAACAACAGCAAAGUAGUGAUUCAAAGUUUCAAACACUGUAGAAACCAAAUAUUUUCCUGUGUUUCACAUGUUAAAUUCCAACCCAAAUAACAAAAUUACAAAUCCAUAAAGUCACAAACUCAAUCUGACAGUCUCAGACUCUCAGUGUCUCUCACAAUCAACAAACUGACAAAGUUACAAAGGCACCCUAUUAGCCUAACUGCCCAAGUGACAAACUGCAAGGCUGCUGUCUGCAACUGUUGAACUGCACAUUCUAAUAUUAAGUUACUAACACAGUAUUGACUAUUGACAGCAUCACAAUAACACUAAAGAAAUGAAAACCUAAUAGCAAUGCAUCAAAGAGGCAAAGACCAAAACUUGAAACAAAUUACAAAUGCACAACUGCACUCACAAGUCACAACUCUAAAAUCAUUAAAAUACACACUAUUGACAACUGACAACACCAAACCCUGAAACAAAUGCACAACACCCUAAAACAAUGAAUCUUCAAGUCACAAUUUAAUGAUUUUACUCAAAACAAAAGUCACAUGUCACAUGUCACAACUCACAACUCACAACUCACAAGGCACAAGCAUUAGUUUAAAGUUUCAACUGAAAUAGACAAAUAGUAAAGACUAAAAGAGUUUAAACUUUAAAGUCUUAACAAAAAAAUAACUAAAACAUCAUGACAAAUUCAGAAACCAUCCAUUUUUAAACACACUGCUAGCCUGCUGCUACACACUGGUUUGCCCAGAACUUUCAGUAAGCUCAAUUGGGGUUGAUGCUACCUCCUGUCCUUGAUUGAAACCGUUUUCUGCAAAAUAAAUAAAAUUCACAUGGUUAAAAAAUAAGGUAUGUGAAAAAAUAGCAAAUUCACACUGGUUUCUAAUAAUUACCUCUCUCAAUCUCCUCCAACUCAGCGUAAAUGGUGAGCUCAUCUUCACUGGGAUCCUUGUAUAGGUUAGGUUGAUCACAUUUUAACCAGUCGCUUGUGCACACCAGGGCCUCUACCAUUUUUGGUGUCAAUGAUGCUAAAAAAGGAUCGACCACUCUUGAUCCUAAACUAAAUGCAUUUUCAGAGGCCACUGUUGAGCAAGGAAUAGCAAAUAUAUCCUUGGCUAGCUUUGUCACACCCCAAUUUUCGAAAGAUAAUUUUUCAAAAUUUUUGGCAUGAUAUAACCUAAAAUAUUAUAAUUCCAUAACCUGUUUCAAAAACGAACUUCAUAGGAACGAAAUUUAAUGCGGAAAUGUAAUUCACACAACUCAACACUGAGUUAAAUAUUACAUUUCUUUAUUUACAUAAACUUGAAGGUCAAGACAUGAGUUUAAUACUGUCUAAUCCCAAAUAUAAAAAUAUACAGAGUACAGCAAAACCCACAAAAAAAAAAAACAAUGCCACUAACCUUCCGCCUCAACCCUGCUGAUCCUCACCUGCAGGUCUAACCCCUACACCAAGAAAUGGUGCACCGGGUUAUAAACAACAAACCCGAUAAGCUAAAAAGCCCGUAUAAGUAAUUCUCAAAAUAAACACAACACCUCCAACAACCCAUUAAAACAUAAGAGUAAUUUAUAUCAAUAAUUAAAACCAAAAUUUCAACACUAUCUCAAUUAACAUGUACCCAUGAGUCUCAAGUAUUAAUAAAUACCCCUCAUGACCUACAACAAUAAAAUGUGUACCCAUGGGUCCCAGAUACCAUACAGUAUCUCCCAUGACCUACAUUGACAGACGGAUUAGAGCUCUAUUCCUAACCGCAACCAAUCACCCGGCCAAAGGCUUGGAACUAGGUUUGACUGUCUAAUAUCAAACACAAAAAUAAUAAAUAGCAUCUUAACCGCAACCAAUCACCCAAUUAAGGGCUUGGAACCCGGUUUGGCUAUUUAUCCAACAAUCAUAAUAUCACAACAUUAUCCUCAACAACACAAUAUCACAUCAUAAAUUAUAUCCUACCACAUGGAUAUAUUUACAUGAACAAUUAUAGAUAUUCCACAAGAAUAAUCUAUCAAAAAUCAAUAAAAUUUAUGAUCACAUGAAUCUCAAAAUAGCAUUUAAAGAAAACUUGUUUUAUCUUACCCAUGAGCCGUUGACGAUCAAGCUCAUCUAUUUUUAAAAACAAUUAAAAGCAUAUAUUUAAAUCCAACAUUAUCAUCAUUAUCAUCAUAUGACCAUAUUAACAUUAGGUUCAAAAUUGAACCUUGGUGAGAUUUACUCACCUCAAUAGCCCGCUGCGUUUCCGCAAAACACAAGAGCAAGCCAACUCACAAUUUCACAAAUCACCUAAAAUAACACACAUAUUAACCUUAGUAACAAACACAACAUGGAUCAAAGUACUCGUAACUUAAAGGUUGCCCCCAAGAAGGGCAAUCCUUCCUCCAAGACCUCCCAAGGUCAUUGAACACUCAACAACAACCAAACUACCAUCAAGAUCAAACUUUCUAAGUUUCCGAUCUAAUGAACACCAUGAACAACUUAGCACCUAAGAUGCAAAGACAAAACCUAAUCAACACUUAGCCUUCACCCACCAUCAACACCCUCACAACUACACAACAAGCUAACACAACAACCAAACCCACUCAUACUGGCCAGACACGCCGCCACACA
Molecule: long non-coding RNA, 2803 nt
Filed under: Fragaria vesca (wild strawberry)
Lineage: Eukaryota; Viridiplantae; Streptophyta; Magnoliopsida; Rosales; Rosaceae
Description: long non-coding RNA (FVES_LNC001494)
Source: RNAcentral